UCUAAUUAAAUUUGUUUAUUAAAAGAUUAAAUGUUAAAUCAUUAAAAUAAGAAGAUUUGGCGGUAUUUUAUAAAAUUAGAGGAACCUGUUAUUUAAUUUGAUAAUCCACGAUAAGAUAUACUUAAAUUGAAAGAAUUUAUGUAUUGCUGUUUUAAAAAUUUUAUUAAGUAAUAAUUUUAAAAUUUUUAUUAAUUAAUAUUUAAAAUAAAUUAAAUUCAAGUCAAAAUAUAGUUUAUUUAAGAAUAUAAUGGGUUACAAUUAAUUUUAUUAAUUUUUUAAAAAAAAUUUUAAUAUAAAUUUGUUAAAAAAUUGGAUUUAAUAGUAAAAUUAAUUAAUUAAUUAAUUUGAAAAUUUAUUAAAAUAUGU
Molecule: ribosomal RNA, 366 nt
Filed under: Polistes myersi myersi
Lineage: Eukaryota; Metazoa; Arthropoda; Insecta; Hymenoptera; Vespidae
Description: partial 12S ribosomal RNA
Source: RNAcentral